UGGCGGACGGGUGAGUAACACGUGGGUAACCUACCCAUCAGAGGGGGAUAACACUUGGAAACAGGUGCUAAUACCGCAUAAUGUCUACGGACCAAAGCGGGGGACCUCCGGGCCUCGCGCCAUCAGAUGAACCCAUAUGGGAUUAGCUAGUAGGUAAGGUAACGGCUUACCUAGGCGACGAUCCCUAGCUGGUCUGAGAGGAUGAUCAGCCACACUGGGACUGAGACACGGCCCAG
RNAcentral lists this ribosomal RNA (236 nucleotides) under uncultured bacterium. Its description in RNAcentral is "partial 16S ribosomal RNA". It matches the Rfam family "Bacterial small subunit ribosomal RNA", at positions 96 to 334 of the family's 1533-position model. The record is from RNAcentral.